Molecule: ribosomal RNA, 253 nt
Filed under: uncultured bacterium
Lineage: Bacteria
Description: partial 16S ribosomal RNA
Rfam family: Bacterial small subunit ribosomal RNA
Source: RNAcentral
UACGUAGGGGGCAAGCGUUGUCCGGAUUUAUUGGGCGUAAAGAGCGUGUAGGCGGUCAGGUAGGUCCGUUGUGAAAACUUGAGGCUCAACCUCGAGACGCCGAUGGAAACCAUCUGACUAGAGUCCGGAAGAGGAGAGUGGAAUUCCUGGUGUAGCGGUGAAAUGCGCAGAUAUCAGGAAGAACACCCGUGGCUAAGGCGGCUCUCUAGUACGGUACUGACGCUGAGACGCGAAAGCGUGGGGAGCGAACAGG